This 427-nucleotide ribosomal RNA is filed under the name uncultured bacterium. Its description in RNAcentral is "bacterial SSU rRNA". It matches the Rfam family "Bacterial small subunit ribosomal RNA", at positions 355 to 774 of the family's 1533-position model. The record is from RNAcentral.
UGGGGAAUUUUGGACAAUGGGCGCAAGCCUGAUCCAGCCAUGCCGCGUGAGUGAAGAAGGCCUUCGGGUUGUAAAGCUCUUUCGGACGGGAAGAAAUGGCGGGCUCUAACAUAGCCUGUCGAUGAUGGUACUGUCAGAAUAAGCAUCGGCUAACUUCGUGCCAGCAGCCGCGGUAAUACGAAGGAUGCAAGCGUUAUCCGGAAUUAUUGGGUUUAAAGGGUGCGUAGGCGGACUAAUAAGUCAGUGGUGAAAGCCUGCAGCUUAACUGCAGAAUUGCCAUUGAUACUGGUAGUCUUGAGUACAGUUGAGGUAGGCGGAAUGUGUCAUGUAGCGGUGAAAUGCUUAGAUAUGACACAGAACACCGAUUGCGAAGGCAGCUUGCUAAGCUGUAACUGACGCUGAGGCACGAAAGCGUGGGGAGCAAACA